RNAcentral lists this ribosomal RNA (440 nucleotides) under uncultured bacterium. Its description in RNAcentral is "partial 16S ribosomal RNA". It matches the Rfam family "Bacterial small subunit ribosomal RNA", at positions 338 to 795 of the family's 1533-position model. The record is from RNAcentral.
CCUACGGGAGGCAGCAGUGGGGGAUAUUGCACAAUGGGGGGAACCCUGAUGCAGCGACGCCGCGUGGGUGAAGAAGCGCCUCGGCGCGUAAAGCCCUGUCAGCAGGGAAGAAAAUGACGGUACCUGAAGAAGAAGCCCCGGCUAACUAAGUGCAAGCAGCCGCGGUAAUACGUAGGGGGCAAGCGUUAUCCGGAGUUACUGGGUGGAAAGGGGGCGCAGACGGCGAGGCACGCCAGGAGUGAAAGCCCGGGGCCCAACCCCGGGACUGCUCUUGGAACUGCGUGGCUGGAGUGCAGGAGGGGCAGGCGGAAUUGCUGGUGUAGCGGUGAAAUGCGUAGAUAUCAGGAGGAACACCGGUGGCGAAGGCGGCCUGCUGGACUGCAACUGACGUUGAGGCCCGAAAGCGUGGGGAGCAAACAGGAUUAGAUACCCCGGUAGUC